GUUGUGAGGUUAAGCGACUAAGCGUACACGGUGGAUGCCCUGGCAGUCAGAGGCGAUGAAGGGCGUGCUAAUCUGCGAUAAGCGCCGGUAAGGUGAUAUGAACCGUUAUAACCGGCGAUACCCGAAUGGGGAAACCCAGUGUGACUCGUCACACUAUCAUUAACUGAAUCCAUAGGUUAAUGAGGCGAACCGGGGGAACUGAAACAUCUAAGUACCCCGAGGAAAAGAAAUCAACCGAGAUUCCCCCAGUAGCGGCGAGCGAACGGGGAGGAGCCCAGAGCCUGAAUCAGCAUGUGUGUUAGUGGAAGCGUCUGGAAAGGCGCGCGAUACAGGGUGACAGCCCCGUACACAAAAGCGCAUGUGCUGUGAGCUCGAUGAGUAGGGCGGGACACGUGGUAUCCUGUCUGAAUAUGGGGGGACCAUCCUCCAAGGCUAAAUACUCCUGACUGACCGAUAGUGAACCAGUACCGUGAGGGAAAGGCGAAAAGAACCCCGGCGAGGGGAGUGAAAAAGAACCUGAAACCGU
RNAcentral lists this ribosomal RNA (526 nucleotides) under Salmonella enterica subsp. enterica serovar Enteritidis. RNAcentral describes it as "partial 23S ribosomal RNA". It matches the Rfam family "Bacterial large subunit ribosomal RNA", at positions 1 to 559 of the family's 2925-position model. Lineage: Bacteria; Pseudomonadati; Pseudomonadota; Gammaproteobacteria; Enterobacterales; Enterobacteriaceae. The record is from RNAcentral.